CUCAGUGAUCCAUGGCUUUUCUAAGAAGCCAGCAUUGCUGCUAUAAUGGAACCAGGGGCUCUCCAUGGCUAUGAAAGCGUUGUUACUACUGCCACAGCACAAAGUAACUGAAGGUCAUGUCUGAAUUUAUUUGCAGAAUUUUAUCUGCAAAAGAUCAACUAUUGAAUAUUUAUCAUACACAGAAAGUGUUGGAAACUUGGAAAAGAUUUCUCUGGGGAUUACUUUAGAAUUUGUGUGUUUUCUAACUUGCUCAAAAUCCUAAAGUACAAUGCAUAUAUGUUUGCUUCAGGAAGACUGUUCUGGUUGCUCUGUUUCUUGGGCCACUGAGUAUCAUAACCCCUGUGCUUCUGUAUGCAUAUCUAUCAUCACUGGCUUUUUCCUUAAGGGCUUGCCUUUGCAGGCUUUUGUAACCAGUGACUUCAAGGACAGCGACUCCAAGGACAGCUGCAAUUUGAAUGAAUUUAGCACAGUUUUAACCCAAUAAGCAUUGUGGAUCUCAAGGGCUUCAGUCUUGUAAAUCUCACAGUUUACAUGGCAACCAUUUGAAGGAGAAGCUGUGGAAGAAGGGGAAAUAUAUUUGUAUUUAUAUCUAUAUACAUAUAAAUUUGUAUGGUAAUUUAAACACAA
Molecule: non-coding RNA, 627 nt
Organism: Microcebus murinus (gray mouse lemur)
Lineage: Eukaryota; Metazoa; Chordata; Mammalia; Primates; Cheirogaleidae
Source: RefSeq, a predicted model, not a curated record